GGAAAGUAAAAGUCGUAACAAGGUUUCCGUAGGUGAACCUGCGGAAGGAUCAUUAUUAGUAUUUACAAUUAUAUUCUGUGAACCAAAACUGGAUCUUAAGGCGAUGUAACGAACUAAGAUUAUACAAAACAAAAAUAUAAAAACUCCCAGCAAUGGAUCUCUUGGCUCUC
This 170-nucleotide unclassified non-coding RNA is filed under the name plant metagenome. RNAcentral's name for it is "partial contains small subunit ribosomal RNA and internal transcribed spacer 1". The stretch from base 1 to 55 matches the Rfam family "Eukaryotic small subunit ribosomal RNA", at positions 1777 to 1831 of the family's 1831-position model. The record is from RNAcentral.